RNAcentral lists this ribosomal RNA (253 nucleotides) under uncultured bacterium. Its description in RNAcentral is "partial 16S ribosomal RNA". It matches the Rfam family "Bacterial small subunit ribosomal RNA", at positions 524 to 776 of the family's 1533-position model. The record is from RNAcentral.
UACGGAGGGUGCAAGCGUUGUUCGGAAUUACUGGGCGUAAAGGGCGCGUAGGCGGUAUAAUAAGUUAGGUGUGAAAUCUUCGGGCUUAACCCGGAAAGUGCACUUAAAACUGUUAUACUAGAGUUCGGGAGGGGAAAGCGGAAUUCCUAGUGUAGAGGUGAAAUUUGUAGAUAUUAGGAAGAACACCGGUGGCGAAGGCGGCUUUCUGGAACGAUACUGACGCUGAGGCGCGACAGCGUGGGGAGCAAACAGG